RNAcentral lists this long non-coding RNA (2014 nucleotides) under Homo sapiens (human). RNAcentral's name for it is "non-protein coding lnc-GNG4-1:1". The record is from RNAcentral. Lineage: Eukaryota; Metazoa; Chordata; Mammalia; Primates; Hominidae.
ACUCAUUCUUAGUUUCAUUAUCAGCUCACUAAUAAUACCAGUGUUGUUAAGAUGCUCAAACUAGAGCAGAAUUGUAUGCUGGAUGUGACGCUAGGACCUCAGAUCCUUUGAUAGUGCAGUUAUGACCAGGAUCUCUUUAUUCUGUGCUUCACGUCAACAUCAUUAACCCGAUGAAGCGAAGCACAAGUCAUAAAGGCACAUCAGAGAAGCCGAGAAAGCGGGGCCGUACAGAGAGCAUCAAAAUCAGGUCAGAAAAAUGCUGCUUUCCUCUUCCACCAAACCUUCUCCCUGUUGUUUUUACAUGCCCCGUCCCUCCAGAUUCAGCCUCCGUUUUGUUCUCUCUCCUUUUCCUUUUCCUCCUCUCUUCCUUACCUUCCCCUGUGAGAUGCUUUUCUGUCCUUUUACUGCACCUCUUCCAGACCUAUGGCAUUUGGGGACGGGUCACCCUUCCUAGAGUGAUCCUGAAUCCAGCUGCCUCUUCUUUUUUUGUUUUUGUUUUUGUUUUUGAGACAGAGUCUCUUUCUGUCGUCCAGGCUGGAGUGCAGUAGCGCAAUCUUGGCUCACUGCAACCUCUGCCUCCUGGGUUCAAGCGAUUCUUGUGCCUCAACCUCACGAGGAGCUGGGAUUGCAGGCGCCCGCCACCACACCCGGCUAAUUUUUGUAUUUUUAGUAGAGACGGAGUUUCACCAUGUUGGCCACGCUGGUCUUGAAGCCCAGACCUCAAGUGAUCCGCCCGCCUUGGCCUCCCAAAGUGCUGGGAUUACAGGCAUGAGCCACCGCGCCUGGCCUAGUUCCCUCUUCUUAGAUGGAGAUUUCUGCACAUGAGCUGUGAGAUCCACAGACAUGUCACUGAGCUCCCCCACUCUGUCAGUGGAAGAUGAAUGGAAUAAAGCCUGCUUGCAUUGUGGAGUGCAGCUGUGGGGACAGUUGUCAUUUUUGUGUUUUCAGCUUAACUGUCCAGCAUCUCCCCUCCCUUCCUACAGCAGGGACAUCAUGCCUUAGAUAUAAACUUAGUGGUGUGCAGUACCCACCGUGGAAGCUGAAGAAGGGAAGUAUUUCCUGUCUCUCAGGCACACCCCGCUUCCAGCCCCAUACCAGUCGGGAAGUGGUCAUUGACCUGGGGUGGACUACCUGGACCCUUGCUUGGGGCUAUGAGCCUGGAGAAUGUGACACAAAUGAAGGGAUGCUGAGACUCAUUUCAAGGAAGCCACCGUGGUCCGGGGUUGGUAGUCAUACAGCAAGGCAGGUGGGUAGGGCUGGCAGGCUGCAGGGAUGGUGUGUCCACUGGUAGCAAUGUCCAGGGAUGGCAGCGUCCUGGGAAUGUCAUUUCUGCUCCACUCCUUGGACUCGCUGAGCUGUCUCCGCCUCCACCUAUCUUCCUACAGACCUCCCUUCUAGUUUUCUGUCAAUUCUUUGAGCCAGCAAACUCCAUCCAGUACAUUCUUUCUUCUUUCAUGAAAGAGCUUGAGUUGGAUGUAAAUAUAUAUGACCUAACAAUUCCACCCCUAGGUGUAUACCCUACAGAAAUGUGUACAUGUGUUCAUCCAGAGACAUGCUCUAAAUCUUCACAAAAACACUCUCCAUAAUAACCCCGAACAGGAAAGCACCCCAAUGCCCAUGUUGGCUGGAUAAGCACAUUAGGGUAUAUUCACACGAUGGAAUCCCAGACUGCAAUGGGAAUGAGCUGCAACUCCACCCCCAACUUGGAGUGUAUUCACCAACCCUAGUGUUGAACGAGAUAAGGCAAAAAUGCACCAUAGGAUUCCAUUUAUAUAAAGUUUAAAACCCAGCAAAAUUCAUCCAUGCGGUUGCAAGUAGAGAUCAGUCCUAAGAAGACAGUAACCAGAAGCGGGCAUGAGGUGGUGCUUCUGGGGUGUUCUGUUUCUUGAUCUGGUUGCCGGUUACCUGGGUGCUUUCCGUUUGUGAACAUUCUUGGAGCUGUACACUUUUGAUCUGGGCACUUUUCUGUGUGUAUGUUAUACUUCAAUAAAAAGUUGGGCUUUGUGACUAGCAA